RNAcentral lists this ribosomal RNA (345 nucleotides) under uncultured bacterium. RNAcentral's name for it is "bacterial SSU rRNA". It matches the Rfam family "Bacterial small subunit ribosomal RNA", at positions 30 to 378 of the family's 1533-position model. The record is from RNAcentral.
AUUGAACGCUGGCGGCAUGCCUUACACAUGCAAGUCGAACGGCAGCACGGGAGCAAUCCUGGUGGCGAGUGGCGAACGGGUGAGUAAUAUAUCGGAACGUGCCCGGUCGUGGGGAUAACGUAGCGAAAGCUACGCUAAUACCGCAUACGAUCUAUGGAUGAAAGCGGGGGAUCGCAAGACCUCGCGCGAUUGGAGCGGCCGAUAUCAGAUUAGGUAGUUGGUGAGGUAAAGGCUCACCAAGCCGACGAUCUGUAGCUGGUCUGAGAGGACGACCAGCCACACUGGGACUGAGACACGGCCCAGACUCCUACGGGAGGCAGCAGUGGGAAUUUGGACAAUGGGCGC